AACGAACGCUGGCGGCAUGCCUAACACAUGCAAGUCGAACGAGACCUUCGGGUCUAGUGGCGCACGGGUGCGUAACGCGUGGGAACCUGCCCUUAGGUUCGGAAUAACUCCCCGAAAGGGGUGCUAAUACCGGUUAAUGUCUUCGGACCAAAGAUUUAUCGCCUUUGGAUGGGCCCGCGUUGGUUUAGCUAGUUGGUAGGGUAAAAGCCUACCAAGGCGACGAUCCAUAGCUGGUCUGAGAGGAUGAUCAACCACACUGGGACUGAGACACGGCCCAGACUCGUACGGGAGGGAGCAGUGGGGAAUAUUGGACAAUGGGCGAAAGCCUGAUACAGCAAUGCCGGGUGAGUGAUGAAGGCCUUAGGGUUGUAAAGCUGUUUUACACGGGAUGAUAAUGACAGUACCGGGAGAAUAAGCUCCGGCUAACUCCGUG
Molecule: ribosomal RNA, 433 nt
Filed under: uncultured bacterium
Lineage: Bacteria
Description: partial 16S ribosomal RNA
Rfam family: Bacterial small subunit ribosomal RNA
Source: RNAcentral